GCGGCGCUGGGAGGCACUGCGGCCGUCUGUGAGGGAGGGCAGCGGUGAGGCAGCUGGGUUUAUGGCCCAGGUUUCCAGGAGAGAUGGUCAUAGCUGUGUGUGUGUGUGUGUCGACCAAGGGAAGAGCCUUACAUAUGGUUCUUGUAUAUCGGCGUGCAAGCCCGGAAAGUACUAGGAACAACUUACUUAACGUGUAGCUGGAGAUGAAGUGGGUACUCUGAGCCUGGCGGCAGACUGGAUGUAGCCUUUGUCAGAAUAGCAGUAUUUCAGUCUGAAAGCACAGCAUUUCUGUGACCAGCUGCUUGUGUUUCUGCUGCAUUGGCCCACAGCGAUUCAGACAACACAGAGCAACACAGAAGUGUACUGCAGUUCAUCAUUUAAGACUGCAUCAAAAAUAGGAGCUGAAUGCAGUGUGUGUGCAGCAGGAGCCUACAGAGGAAGCUGGGCCAGUGAGAAUGCAGAGCAGUCUGGUGACGAUGGCAGCCCUGGACAGCAGCACAGCAAAUGGUAUGUUUUGAAUCUAGUUAACUUCCUAGUGAAAUGCCAGGCAGUAAUCAUCAAGCAGACCUGCUAAUUUCAACAGAGCAGUUAGCAUUUAAUUGAGGUAUGCAAAGAACUGGAACCUGUAGAAACUUCUGUGAGUACUGAGACCCUCUGAAAACUCGUGGCUUCCUCUUCUUUGUGUCAUGCAUCUGAGAUGGUUGUUUUGAGUAAUGGCUUCUCUUUCUGAUGCCUGAUGUAAGUAGCUGUGUUGUAGUUUUGAUCAAGUCUGCCAAAGACCCCGGGCCUCCAACACAGUAAGAAAGGUAGGCAGUUUGAAAUCCUUCUCGACAGUAUAUAGCUAAACAUACAAGGUAAAGUCAGGAUGAAAUUUUGAUUGUAACUGUGUUUUAAAUGAUGCUGGUAGUGCUGCCUGGAAUUAAGCUUGCCUCACGUUUCCCAUGAUAAGACCCUUUUUUCAGUGGCAUCUAACUUUGUCAGGUUUCAGUUGUUUGGGCUGAAACUUUUCAUGCUGAAUGUCUGCUUCAGAUGAAUUGGUUUGGAAAGCUUAAACAAAGAAAUGGUUUCACCAUUUCUGGGAAUGAAAUUAAGAGAAAAAUAUUUUCUUUUGCCAUGCCAACUUAAUUCUGGCGUUUCCCGGUGUAUGGCAACUGUUGAAUCGUGGCCUGAACCUCAGAUUGACCACCUGAGGCGAGCACUGAGUCAGCCGCAGAGGACACAGUUGAACACAGUUUCACCUGAGUGACCGGAAGACCCCAUGUAAGGGCUGACUCUUGGAGCCCUUUGGUGAGCCCACGACCAGGGUAAGCUCUUUAUUUCAUCAUGCCUUUGUAAUGUGGUAAUCUCUCUGGUCCUGUACCCGUAUACCUAUUUGCCUUACAAUCUGUUUACUUGUUUGCUGUACGCCUGGGUUUUGAGUGCUUGGGUCUGCAGCCUUGAUGGUUUUCUAUGUACAUUUAUGUUUCCUUCAGAAAAGGAAAGUUUGUAACAUAAUGCCUACAUACAUACAUUCAGAUAACUGAAGAAUGUUUAAGUUGAUGUGAAAACUGUAAACAAUAAACUUGCAUAAGAAGCGAUCAAUAUAUAUAUAUAUAGUAUAUAUAGUAAUAUAUCAGUGAUAGGUACCUCUUCUUUGGUCCUCCUUGUUUUACUAACACCCACGUGGUGUCUAGGACAUCUGGAAAUGUUGCUGGAGCCUUUGAGGCCCUAGUCUAUAUGUGUUCAUGCUGGAGGAACUGAAGCUGAAGCGGGGGAAGGAAGUAAUUUUUAACUCCUCCCUAAAUGCCAGUCACUGCCAGGGAGAAGUCAAUCUGGUAUAUGGCAUCUAAGAGAAAAUACAUGGAUACCUGUUACGAAAGAGAGAUGCUGUCUGUAAGCACUGCUUGUGUCACACUGCUGUAUGGUCCUCAAAGGAGCCCUCAAGCUCCCUUUCCAUAUCCAGGUUAUGUAGAUACUGGUGAUGCUAGGAACUUGAAACUAAGUUCAUUUGCUGGCUUUUACAGUAGGUGAUUAUUGUUUUUUGUUUGUCGUUGCUCCCCUAUCCAAAGUAUUUCAGUGAGUUGUAUCUUCUGCCAAGGCAGAGUUUCUAGUUGAGGCUUGGCUGAAAAAAUGAAGGCAAACAAGAGCUUUGCUAGAUUCCAGUCUGGAAAGGAAGAAGAUCCUGGGGGAUUUUUGUGUUGUAGCUCCUAAAGGCCUCUGAAUGCUUCUGGGGCUGUAUCUUUUAACCUGGACUAGAGAAGAGUCUUUGAAGUUCCUACAGUUUGAUUGGAAGGGGAGACAGAGGAUGAAGUCGGUGAGGCACAGAGGUGAAAAGCUCCAUUCAGUGUUACAUAUCUGCUCAUGAUGGUGGUGGGUUUUUCCCUUCUGUGUCGGGUGAAGAGACAGGCUGGUUGCGGAGUUGUGCUGGGUGACUGGUUGCUGAACUCAUCUGAAAAAAAAACAGUCUGUUUCACAAACAACAGGAGAAAACAAAGAAUAGUUGAAGAGUGCUGGUGUACGUGUGUAUUCCGUUGUCCUGCAGGACACAGAGGUGCUCAGGCUUGUGACUGUCCUGGAGACUGUUCCAAUAAUGGAAAUGGAUUUCUGAGCUAACGUGGAUGAGAUUCCUGUCAUGAAUGCUGUCCUGUGGAAGGGCUCUACCCAGCAACUAACAAGGUUGGCCCCGUAACAUCUCUGCACUCGAUCCCUCAGAAAUGGGAGUGGUGGUAUACAGUGACAGGGAAGUUGUUUGCACAGCAUUUCUCUUGGAAGGACUCCCACUUGCUCUGUUCCUGACCAAUGUGUACAUUCUUUCAGGUUAAAUUUCAGUGGAUGCAGCAUGUUCCUUCACUUCCUCCCCUGAAUGGGUGUUGACAUGCUAUGAAACAGCUGCCUUGCUCUGCUCUGGAGGUAGAUGCUCUUUCAAAGGCUGAAGUAACUCCUGCCAACAUCCAGCUUGUCUUAUUAACCUGUUGGGAUUGCUCCAGACCAAAGUUACAGAGGAAUGCUGUGUUAUGUGGCAAACGACCCGGGAAAGGUAUUUUAUGAUAUAUGUGGAAUUACAUUUGCAACAUGUAUCUGUAACAGCCCUAAGACCUCACUGUACAGCUUUAGUUCACAGGGGAAUAUUGAAGCAAUUCUGUGCCUUCCUUGGUUGAAGCUCCAGUGUAUAGCUGAAAAUCUGAUUACCGAAUUACUGAAGCCUUAAGAAAUUAGGCUGUCUUCAGGAUUGUUUCUUAGAAGAAGGAUGGCAGCAGGGCCAGCGUGAGAGUAACUGUGGGGAAGUGAUCGGUAUGCGAUGGUGUUACUUUCCCAGCUGUUCAAUGGGCUUUUCUGUGGGGUGUAGCUUCUUCAGCACGGGAACAAUCUUUCAUUCUCAUUUCUGCAGUCCCCUAAGUAUGUGUGAUCUGGAAUUGCGCAGUAAUGUAAUACCUGAAAUCUUGUGAUGGACUUCCAUAGGAAGUCCUAUGUUUGGACGUGCGGUUGUAUCUUUCUAGGAUAACCUGUUGUUCAUCAUCCUUUCUGGAAGCUGGCUUUGGAAAGGUAUAUUGACAGAGAGAAUUUACGGUAUUAUUUUAAGACACUUAAUAAACCAUAGUGUUCCUUUAUUACAAUGUAAAGCAGUGCCGGUUUUGAGUUUUAUAAGGCAUUUAAGCGCAGUUGUGGCCUUCAUGAACGUAAUACCAACGAUUGUAUGAGAAGAAGGGCACUGCGUUGAAGUUGAAGAUGAGUUGAGGUUGGACAUUACGCACUGAUUUCCCAAGAGGACUCUCCUUCAGUGCCUGGAGAAGUAAUUUCAAUAUUCAUCUCUUCUCAUUGUAGGCUAAUUACUAAAUAUUGUAGUAGCUUAAUUUAGUUUGUAAUUUAUUCACUUGUUUGUGAUUAUGUUCCCAGAAUGGGGGAUAAACUUGAAUUGGAGUAUUUGAAUAUUUGAGGAUUGGGAUUAAAAAAAAAAAAAUCUGAAUCAAGAAAUGAGAUGAUACUACUUACCUAGCUUAAGAAGCAGGCCGGAUAGGGAAAUUGUGUGUUUGUAGCUGCUUUGAAAAAACUUUUCCACUCUGCUGUACCUGGUGCUGCUGUGAACGUUCUUACAGUGUGAAGACCAAAUGUGAAAGGUUGCUGUUAGUUGCAUGUAAAUCGUUUCUGUGCCUUAUGGACCUUGUGCAGCAACUGAAGAGCCUUGUGAAUGAAAGGUUUUCUAUAAACAUACGUGGUAAUUACAUCGUGGGAGGAUACAAAUGGUGACUUUAGCUGUGUGGGGCCCAGAUGUGGAAGUCAUUGCUCCUGGAAGCAGGAAAGGGAGGUGAGACUGAGCCAAUCAGGAGAGCAGCAAAACUGUGACUGUCUGAUACUCUAGUUGUAGGAAGCGAAAAGGUGUUGGUUGUGCCAAGGGCACAAGGUCUGUAAUUAGGUUAUUAAGUGCAGCAUCCUCCCUGUCUGUCAAGCUGCUUCCGAUGCAGUCCUGGUCUCUUGGAUCCCAGGAGUGCCUGACAAGGUCCUGUUCUGGAGCACUGAUUUCAUUUGCUUCCAGCAGCUGCUUUAUUAGGUUUAUGAACUGUUUUUCUUAACACCAUCAAACUAGGGUUUGACUUCCUGGGUGCUGGUUUUACAGUUUUAGAACUUGUGCAGCAUAAAAAAAAUGACACUUUUACUGUGGCAUCCUCAUUGCAUGUGAACUGCAGUGUCUUCCAUAGUACAGCUGCAAGGUUCCUUUUGAAAGUAAUGAUCCCCCAGCUCAUAGCUGUGAGAAAAUCAAAGCAAACAUUUAGCCCUUGCUGGGAUCCAUUACGUAGUAAGGAAUACUUUCCACUCUGCUGAAAGCGGUCUCUUACUUGGUUCUUCAAACUGGGGAGAUAAAGAGGGAAGUGAUGAUCAAACUGGUUUCCUCCUCUUCCUCCUUUUCCCAUGAGAGCUCUGUAGAACUCACCAGGUCUGGCACAGCAGAAGCAUUCUGCAGUGCUUUUCCUUUGCUCUGAGUAAUGCUCCUGUACUUCUCAGCUGGCUGCCCAAGGCAGCUGUGCUCUGCUGGGUAUUACUGGGCAUAUCUAUUUCUGUUUUGUAAUUGUUGUGUUUCUUCAGGUGUAAUGAGACUAGACAGGUUUUUCUCUUAGAGUCACUGUUUGUUCACCUAUGUUUUUUUUGCAGGAGAAACAUGUAAGGGAUUGUCACUGGGAGCUGCUGGUCAGGCUGUGAUACUCAGCUAAAAGCUGCUCAUGAGAAAUACUAACAUGCAGACUUGGCAAUGCUGCAUGCCUGCAGUUGGUAGGAAUAAGAGGUGAAGAAGUCUCUCCAGUGUUAAACUGAUUUAUCGUUCAGCAAUGUCAACAGAAAUUUGGGCAUGUAAUCCUCAGUAGCUAUAUCAGGUGGUUUAGUAAGAAAAAAAAAAAAAAACUCUCCUUGCAAACUGCUUUCACUCCCUAGAAAGCAUCAGCAGUGCUGCUGGUACAAUGCACCCUGCUUAAAGGUAGAAAUACUGUAUGUGUUAGUAGCAUAUUGUAGAAAUAUAGUUGCUGAAUUCUGUGAUUAAUUCUUGCUUAAAACUGCAGUAGUUUUUAAACGUUCCAAAUGCUAUAGAUAUAGCAUUAUGGACUAGAAAGAAUAUUGUAGGGCUAUUUACGUAAGAGACCCGCAGCAAAAGAAAAACAGACUUAACAAACAGCAAAGAAGCCAGGGCCUCUGCACAAGGAUUGCCUCGUUGUGCGGGUAGGUUGAGCUGCAACAAGCAGGCAUCAAGGUACUCUCCUCUAUCCUCUUUCCAAGCUUUUCUCUAUGCAAGGAGAAGCAGAUGUCCAGAAACAACAACCGAGUGCUGAGUGAGCAAAUGUGAGAAGUUAACUAAUUAGCAAUAUAUGCUUAGCUAGCAGCAAUUUACGUUUACCUGGUACCAUGUGUUUAGUUGAGCAUUGGCAAGAUGAUGAACCUUUAGUACUCAACCAAUGAGGAACUGAAGGGCAAAAUCAGGUCCCCGCAGUAUAGAAAGAAGGGCUUCAUAGCAAGAAAAGAGAAAGCAGCUUCACAAGGUAGACAUAAGGAGCAAAUAGAGAUAGAUAGUUUAUGUAGAGAGUAUUAGAAAACAAGGGAUUCCAAGCACUUUCACAGGCGCUAGGUCCAGAAUAACAAGGAGAAUGAAGGCCAUAAAGAUAAGGACUGGAGAACAGCUCGAAAACAUUUGGCAGGGAGGUGAUUAGAUGUCUGAAGUGCAAGCUGAAACUGGUUCGGGGGAUGCCCCCCCCUUCGGGGUCAGAAGUUUGCAGCGAGGAAGACUAUGAGCCUUCGCGAGGAAGACUAUGAGCCUUCAUCAUCACGACCUACUACGCAUGCGCAAAAGGGGGAGGGACUGCAUGCUAAUGGGCUCUCGGGAAUGUAAUGAAUAUGUAUCCGAAUUCGCAGUCAACUAUUGAUCAGGUAUUAGUUUGACCUAUAUCUAUAGCACGAUUUCUUCGGACGGUGUGCAAGUUAGGUGGAGCGAUCCCCCUUGCACCAGGGUGUAUGCGCGUCACCAAUAAACACAUACCUGCUCUA
Molecule: long non-coding RNA, 6501 nt
Organism: Gallus gallus (chicken)
Lineage: Eukaryota; Metazoa; Chordata; Aves; Galliformes; Phasianidae
Exons: 2
Source: RefSeq, a predicted model, not a curated record